UACAGAGGUCUCAAGCGUUGUUCGGAAUCACUGGGCGUAAAGGGUGCGUAGGUGGCGUGGAAAGUCAGAUGUGAAAUCCGGGGGCUCAACCUCCGAAUAGCGUCCGAUACUCCCAUGCUAGAGAACUGGAGGGGGAUCUGGAAUUCUCGGUGUAGCAGUGAAAUGCGUAGAUAUCGAGAGGAACACUAGUGGCGAAGGCGAGAUCCUGGACAGUAUCUGACACUGAUGCACGAAAGGUCAGGGGGAGCAAAACGGGG
Molecule: ribosomal RNA, 257 nt
Filed under: uncultured bacterium
Lineage: Bacteria
Description: partial 16S ribosomal RNA
Rfam family: Bacterial small subunit ribosomal RNA
Source: RNAcentral